This 684-nucleotide long non-coding RNA is filed under the name Nicotiana benthamiana. Its description in RNAcentral is "long non-coding RNA (NBEN_LNC003430)". The record is from RNAcentral. Lineage: Eukaryota; Viridiplantae; Streptophyta; Magnoliopsida; Solanales; Solanaceae.
UGACUCGUGUUGCUGAACUCAUCACAUGGGGUAAUGUGAUUGCAAAUGGUUAUAAGCUUGUACUGCACAUUGUCUUGUGACAAUUGCAAACCGCACAUACAUUUUCAGAACUCAUAGCUUGAACCACUUUAAUUUCUCUUUCGGGUUAUAGAAGAAUGUGAAAUCCAAAAUUGGCUUUCUACAUCCUAAAAGGGCAGAAAAUUCAGGAUGGUGUUUCUCAGCCAUUCUUUCUAGAGCCCUCCUAACCCCCCAAUAACAAUAAUAGCCCAAUAAAAUUCCAUAAGUGGGACCUGGAGAGGGUAUAAUGUAUGCGUACUUUAUCCCAAUGGAAUAGAGAGGCUGGUUCCUAUAGGCCCUCGGCUCACAACACACAAAAAAAAACAAAACAAAAAAACAAAAACAAAAGAGGAAAAGAGAAAUCAUGGGGCCGCUUAACUUUUAAAAAUGUCACAUUGUUGCUAUUUAAUUUUUUGGCUUUUCAAUUCUAAUGGUUUGGAACAAAUAACUAUGCUGGUACUAUUGAUUGCAUUUGGCGCUUAUGAAUCGAGAAGGACAAUUAGAUAAAAGAAAAAAGAAUAGAUAUCAAGGUCAACAAGGCAAAGCUAGUUGGUUUUAAUCAUUUAGUCAAUAGAUUCUUUGCCUUUUUUCGGACAAUAGAUAUCAAGGUCAACUAUAAUGUUCUUU